RNAcentral lists this ribosomal RNA (253 nucleotides) under uncultured bacterium. RNAcentral describes it as "partial 16S ribosomal RNA". It matches the Rfam family "Bacterial small subunit ribosomal RNA", at positions 524 to 776 of the family's 1533-position model. The record is from RNAcentral.
UACGUAGGGACCAAGCGUUGUUCGGAUUUACUGGGCGUAAAGGGCGCGUAGGCGGCGUGACAAGUCACUUGUGAAAUCUCUGAGCUUAACUCAGAACGGCCAAGUGAAACUGUUGUGCUAGAGUGCAGAAGGGGCAAUCGGAAUUCUUGGUGUAGCGGUGAAAUGCGUAGAUAUCGCUUGGAACGCCAACGGUGAAAACAGCUCGCUGGGGGUGUGCUGACGCUGAGACACGAAAGCCAGGGGAGCGAACGGA